Molecule: ribosomal RNA, 322 nt
Filed under: uncultured bacterium
Lineage: Bacteria
Description: bacterial SSU rRNA
Rfam family: Bacterial small subunit ribosomal RNA
Source: RNAcentral
GACGAACGCUGGCGGCGUGCCUAAUACAUGCAAGUAGAACGCUGAGGACUGGUGCUUGCACUGGUCUAAGGAGUUGCGAACGGGUGAGUAACGCGUAGGUAACCCACCUCAUAGCGGGGGGAUAACUAUUGGAAACGAUAGCUAAUACCGCAUGACAAUAGGGUACACAUGUACCCUAUUUAAAAGGGGCAAAUGCUUCACUAUGAGAUGGACCUGCGUUGUAUUAGACUAGUUGGUAGGGGUAACGGCUUACCAAGGCGACGAAUACAUACGCGACCUGAGAGGGUGAUCGGGCCACACUGGGGACUGAGACACGGCCCAG